RNAcentral lists this transfer RNA (77 nucleotides) under Desulfobacterales bacterium. RNAcentral's name for it is "tRNA-Pro". It matches the Rfam family "tRNA". Rfam says of the family: Transfer RNA (tRNA) molecules are approximately 80 nucleotides in length. Their secondary structure includes four short double-helical elements and three loops (D, anti-codon, and T loops). The record is from RNAcentral. RNAcentral also lists the same sequence under 2 other names. Lineage: Bacteria; Pseudomonadati; Thermodesulfobacteriota; Desulfobacteria; Desulfobacterales.
CGGGACGUGGCGCAGUCUGGUAGCGCACCUGAAUGGGGUUCAGGGGGUCGCAGGUUCAAAUCCUGUCGUCCCGACCA